ACAACGAAAAAGAAGGGAUGGCCUAUCCAGCUCAAGGGUACGGUAUAACUUAUGGAAAAGCAAGUUCCUUCAUUUAAAUAAGGGGCCGGACCUCAUUUUCAUUCAACUUCACCUAUCAGUCGCAGCAGCACAAGUGCUUGACCUUGGCAGACAUGUCUCAACAGUCUUGUACAAGGAAGGCUGGCCUCUGUUUUAGCAGCCAAUUAAUGUGAGACCUGG
Prunus mume (Japanese apricot) is the source of this 219-nucleotide non-coding RNA. NCBI's taxonomy places the organism in Eukaryota, Viridiplantae, Streptophyta, Magnoliopsida, Rosales, Rosaceae. The record is from RefSeq and is a predicted model, not a curated record.